Molecule: ribosomal RNA, 244 nt
Filed under: uncultured bacterium
Lineage: Bacteria
Description: partial 16S ribosomal RNA
Rfam family: Bacterial small subunit ribosomal RNA
Source: RNAcentral
GAGGAUGCGAGCGUUAUCCGGAUUUAUUGGGUUUAAAGGGUGCGUAGGCGGCGUUCCAAGUCAGCGGUAAAAUUGCGGGGCUCAACCCCGCCGAGCCGUUGAAACUGGCGCGCUUGAGUGGGCGAGAAGUAUGCGGAAUGCGUGGUGUAGCGGUGAAAUGCAUAGAUAUCACGCAGAACCCCGAUUGCGAAGGCAGCAUACCGGCGCCCGACUGACGCUGAAGCACGAAAGCGUGGGUAUCGAA